AGAGUAUUAUUACAGUGCAUCAGUUUCCUUAGCUCAAAGUGAUACCUCAGUAGGCUGAACUUCAAUUCUCAUAAUUUUCAACUCUCAUAAGUCUUGAUGUCCACCAUAUCUGGAUUGCACACAAAAAAGGACUAACUCCUAGGACAGGAAAAACAGAAGACCUGGGAUCAAAUUAACCCACUAAAACAGGAAAACAAAACCCAGGGCAAUCAGAAACACAUCAAAACCCAUCAAGCUGCAGGAGUUUCAAAGGCGAAUUAAGCAUAAAAGGCUUAGAGUCACACUUCCAAGUUUGCUUGCAAGUCAGGAACGUUCUAGCUGCGUCACUACUUUUCUUGCCUUCCUGAAUUAAAGGAUCCCUUUUCUGGCAGCUACUUCCAUGUCUACUUCUUCACGGCAUCGCUAGCUGCUUCCCAGCUGGGAAUGAACUCAGGAAAUUUUCUUCCAACAAAGGGACCCAUAAUAUCUCACUGCUAAGGAACUAAUAUGGAAGAAAUAUAAGGAUUCCAACGAAUACAGUUUGGGAAGUACUGCAUUAAGAUGUUUCACUUAUGAAAGAGAACAAAUUGAAAAACAAAAAUAUGAACGAGUGAAUGAAUUGAGAGAAAGGAGAAGUGUGAGAAAGUCAUGGCUGGAUAAAGUUGAUGAGACCCUCAACCAGAAAGAGGCAAGUUGAAAGAAAAGAUAAUAUAUUAGGCAUGGAUGUGACGGAAGCAAAGAUAGUUUACAAUACUGUUAUUCAGCCUGAUCAACUUUCAAGAUAUGUGGACUGGGGAAUUCUGGGAAUUGAAGUCUGUUGCUGAAGUUGAGAAAAGCUUGUUCAUAAGAAUGAAAGCACAGGCACUAUUGCAGUGAAUGGUGUUGGUGUAAAUGAGAUAUCGUUGUAUUUUUCCUUUCCAUAUACCAUGCCUUUAAUUUCUCAUAGUAUUCCUUAAUUGUUUUCUCCACUUUGCAUAUCAUCACUUCCACAAAGGAAAACAGAUGAUGUGUAUGGAAGGUUGUACUCUGACUGCAUAGAGAACUUAUUCAUAAUCUGCGGCUCAUCUCUACAGACAUUACUUUGCCAACGUAGGCACUCUCAGCUCAAAUAUUUGGGAAAUGGCCAGAAGAUGCAGCUGGAAAUGAUUUAUAUGGAAAAAUAGGGCCUAAUCCUACUGCAAGCCAAGUUUGCAUGGCCUAUUUCAUGAAGUUGAGUUUCAGUCUGAUUUUGGUUCAAUAGGAUAAAUAAAUAAAGUGAAAUAUAGAACAUAGAAGGCAGAAUAACAAGGUUGGAAGGGACCUUGGAAGUCUUCUAGUCCAACCACCUGCUCCACCAGAAGAUCUUAUAUCAUUCCAGAAAAACAAUUGUCCAAUAUCUUCUUGAAAACCUCCAGUGAUUGAGAAUUGAGCAGACUGGAGGCAAGCUAUUUCACUGAUUAAUUUUUUCUCACUGUCAGAAAAUUUCUUCUUAGUUCUAGGUUGAAUCUCUCUUUAAUGAUCAUCUACCCAUUACUUCUAGCCCUGCCCAUGGGUGCUUUGGAGAAUAGGUUAACCUCCUCUUCUCUGUGACAGUCCCUCAAGUACUGGAAGAUUGCUAUCAUGUCAUCUCUAAUUCACAAAUCCGCUCCUUGAUUAUGUUUUGCAGGGUUUUCCCAGAUAUUGAUGUCAGGCUAAUUGCUCCAUAGUUGCCUGGAUCUACUCCUCCUCCACCCAUUUUUGGAAGAUUGGAACAAUAUCAUCUCUUUGCCAGUCCCCUGACACUUCCUUGUGCUCCAGGAGGUCUGAAAGAUUUUGUUCAGUGGUUCUGAGAGCACAUCUGUCAAUGUUAUUUUAGAUGUUAAAUUCACCUUUUCAUCCAGGUGUAAUGCAUGAACAUGGAGGAGAUUUUAUUGAAUGGUUUAAACAAGUGGUGAAAUCCUCUGAAGUCUGCUACCAGUUUGAUGAGUCUGCUACUGAGAGCGCACAAGUGCGGCUGUGGCGCACCAGCACAGUGCUAAAAAAAGGAACAUUUUGAAGAUUUCCAAGUCUGCAAAGGUUCAGAAUAUCAUCAACCCAGAGCUGGAGAACUUUGAGGAUCCUUUCAGUUUAUUAGCAUCUGAUUAUGAAAAGUUACAUCUUGGCUAGCUCUUGGGGAAGAGAAUAGUUUGUCCCACGAAUUGCUGAAUCUCAUAAACUGCCAUUUUGUUCCAAACUAAUACAAGGUACUUAUAUUCAUAUUUCCAGUCCUAUAGAAUUUAGGAUCUAGAUAUAAAAAUAUUGCUUUCUCCUUUAGGUACCAACCCCAUCAGUGAUUGGUAGCAGGAAUGUACUCUCGAUGGUGUCACAUUUAUGAAGAAAGUGUCUUGCAUCAAGCUGAAAGAGGAGAGCCUCAGUGUAGGUGCCUUGGUUGUGGACUUCCUUCCCUGUUCAAUUAUGGCUAAUGACAAACCUCCUAUGUGUUUGUAGCUAGCUACAAGGUUUUUAACUGAAUCUUGUUUAACAUUUUUCAUUGCCUUGAAUUUAAUAUUUAUGAGGUAAAAUUGGUACAGGUCAGUUUUGGCAUUUGGAUCAGUACGCCACAAACUCAUUCAAAACCUCAUUUUAUCUCAACCAUGCUCAAACUAUUUUAUACAACUUGGGUUUUUAAAUGUAGAAACUGUCUUGCAAGCUAGCAUAUGAUAACCCACCUUCCACCAACCAGGAGCGAUGUGCAACAAUCCUUCAAAUCAUAAAUUGUAUCAAUAAUGUGAUUUUAAAAAUUGUUCAUCUUUGUAUUAGCAGGCAGACACAUCCAAAACCAGACAGCUUCCAACUCAGGCACCAAAUCUGGUGCACAGACGCUUGUCUUUUAUGUCACCACAUCAGUAGAUCUUUGUUGAUGUGGUUUGCGCCUGUUAGAAUCACAUAUAGGCUAAGUAACUUAGUUGUGAAGUAACCUAAAUGAAGCCACAUGAUAAUUUAUUAUUCAAAUAUUGAUUUAUACGCUAUUUUGAGGGAGGUAUUUGUGUUACUGUUUCUUUACAUCAGAAAUAGGAAGUUGGAUUUUGCCCCUGGGCUAAAUUGUCCCAGAUCCAUCUCAAGGGGCUGGUUGGAAUAGUAAAGUUCAGAUCUGGAGGAAGUUUCUCGCGUUUAGAAAAAAGACACUUUUUAAAAUUUGUAGGAAUCAGUCCAGACAAUUGCCAGGAAUCAAGACUAACCUGAAGGCCCCAAAAAGAAAACAAACAAAUAAACCUGGUUGGUUAUCCUUACAAUAGCAGAAAUCUUUAUGCAUUUACCCAGUCCUGUCUUACCUUCAUUCAGAAAAUAGCAACUAGAUGACCUUGGCUUAUCUUGCAAUUGCUAAGAAAAUUAGUAUAUUAUCCAAUCUAGGAGGAUGAAAAAAUGUCCUGAAGGAAGGAAUGGCAACUACUUUUAUGUUGUUAUUGCCAGGGAAACAAGAUGGAUUGUUGCGAAUAAUGCAAUCCUAGCAAUAAGUUCCAUUCUUUAUUUAAGACAGGAAGCUGACACAAGAGAUCGGCAUGCAUAUAUUUGCAUGUCUAUCUCUUUCAUUGCUGACGUAUCAAUCAUUGCUUCACUGAAUCGAGCCACCAAACAUAAAAUCACUAUAAGAUGGCAAUCCUCCAUUACUUACACAUUUUUUUUAAAAAAAAAGUUGUAUGUAUCUUCAUAAUUUAUUUAUUAUGCCACAAAGUCAUUCUAAUAAUUACUCUUCCGGUUUUGCUCAUCAAAUGAGGGAAGAGUCCAAUGAGCAUAAACAUUACAGAGCAAAGAAUAAUAUAAUAUUAUUGUUUUAUCUGAUUUCCAAAACCAAUGCCAUAUGAAGAUAAGUGUAAGUACCAGCAGGGGGUGGUAAACAGUGUUAAAAUGGAAGGUACAACUUGAAAACCCAGCCAAUCCCUAUAUUUUACAUCCAUGUGAUGAUAUAUGUUAAAAAGGAAUGGGGCUUCAAUCGCUAACUAUGGUGUUCACCAUUUCUAUUUCCUCUGACUUCCUAAGUAUAGAAUAGCUACUUUUGCAGAACACACCAUUGUAAUAUCUAUCAAUAUAAUUUAUCAAUCAUUAUCAUCACCACCUCCUUCAUCCAUCAUCUUGUUGAGAGUUCCCUUCUUUUUAGCUACUAGUUAGGAGCAGCAGCUGCCUUUUUAUCUCAAAAAGAUGUCAUCUGAGACCCUCUCUUCAGCAUAUGAGUUUUAUCCUGUAACAGUAGGCAAAUUUACUGCAUAUGUACAUGUAAAAAAAAAAGAGAAAGGAAAUGAG
Thamnophis elegans (Western terrestrial garter snake) is the source of this 4215-nucleotide long non-coding RNA. RefSeq lists it as uncharacterized. The record is from RefSeq and is a predicted model, not a curated record. NCBI's taxonomy places the organism in Eukaryota, Metazoa, Chordata, Lepidosauria, Squamata, Natricidae. The transcript is spliced from 3 exons.